AGUUUGAUCCUGGCUCGAAUGAACGCUGGCGGCAGGCCUAACACAUGCAAGUCGAACGGAGUUAUAUUGUANCUUGCUAUGGUAUAACUUAGUGGCAGACGGGUGAGUAAUGUAUAGGAAUCUACCUAGUAGUACGGAAUAAUUGUUGGAAACGGCAACUAAUACCGUAUACGCCCUACGGGGGAAAAAUUUAUUGCUAUUAGAUGAGCCUAUAUUAGAUUAGCUAGUUGGUGGAGUAAUAGCCUACCAAGGCAAUGAUCUAUAGCUGAUCUGAGAGGAUGAUCAGCCACACUGGAACUGAGAUACGGUCCAGACUCCUACGGGAGGCAGCAGUGGGGAAUAUUGGACAAUGGGCGAAAGCCUGAUCCAGCCAUGCCGCAUGAGUGAAGAAGGCCUUUGGGUUGUAAAGCUCUUUUAGUGAGGAAGAUAAUGACGGUACUCACAGAAGAAGUCCUGGCUAACUCCGUGCCAGCAGCCGCGGUAAUACGGAGAGGGCUAGCGUUAUUCGGAAUUAUUGGGCGUAAAGGGCGCGUAGGCGGAUUAGUAAGUUAAAAGUGAAAUCCCAAGGCUCAACCUUGGAAUUGCUUUUAAAACUGCUAAUCUAGAGAUUGAAAGAGGAUAGAGGAAUUCCUAGUGUAGAGGUGAAAUUCGUAAAUAUUAGGAGGAACACCAGUGGCGAAGGCGUCUAUCUGGUUCAAAUCUGACGCUGAGGCGCGAAGGCGUGGGGAGCAAAACAGAUUAGAUACCCUGGUAGUCCCCGCUGUAAACGAUGAAUG
This 776-nucleotide ribosomal RNA is filed under the name uncultured bacterium. RNAcentral's name for it is "bacterial SSU rRNA". It matches the Rfam family "Bacterial small subunit ribosomal RNA", at positions 10 to 815 of the family's 1533-position model. The record is from RNAcentral.